This is a long non-coding RNA of Carassius carassius (crucian carp), 823 nucleotides long. RefSeq lists it as uncharacterized. NCBI's taxonomy places the organism in Eukaryota, Metazoa, Chordata, Actinopteri, Cypriniformes, Cyprinidae. The record is from RefSeq and is a predicted model, not a curated record. The transcript has 4 exons.
CCUGAGUGGAAUAGAGUUGGAGGGCGUUUUUUAGUAGUAGGCUAUAGAGUGGUAUUCAAGGAUACAUGUUAGAAAGAACAGCGAUUGGGUAUACCACAAAGGGAUAGAAAACACUGCGAGGGACGUUUGUAACGGUGAUCGGGUUACUCCUCUGGCCCAUCAGCUGAAUAGGUGGGGCUUGAUCAAUGGCAGGAAACUGAAGGAUCAAAUGUCAUAAAAUGGUGCCAGGCUGUGACACGAAGGCAGGGGCCGUGAAACCGUACCUUCAUCAUCAGACUGUACAGUAGAGAGACAGAGUCUCACUCCCGGUCAACUGGCCUCGGCUGCAGAAGCCAUAUGAGGUGGAAACCGAGAAGCUGAAGAAAUCAGUUCUGAGGGGAGACACCAGGACUUUCAGGGGGCUUCGUGAUGAGUGAAAUCAGGGACGGGGUUCAGUGGGAAAUCGCAUGCCAUGCCUCAAUCAGCAACAUGACCCAACAACCAGGGAGGCAUGUGUCAAUCAAAAUGUGUCAGUGUGGGUUUGUGGGUAACCAGUAAAUCAGUAAGGAUUUUAAGCCAUCAUUUAAGAAAAACUGAGAGAUGCUCUGCUGCACUAAUAAGUGUUAAUACUGCUAUAACACCAUAAGACCAGGGGCAUCUUGCACUAUUUUUUGUUUGUUGGAUGGGACACUGAUGACAGUUUUGGCUCACUUAAUGACUAAGAAUAAACAAGAUUAUGAUGGGAAUGGGGAAAACAUCUAGUACUUAUGUGUUGUAAAUUGUGUAAAUGUGAUUAGUGUGUUCUAAUAAAGAUAAACAAUAAUGAUAUAUGAUAAUAAAAUAA